CACACUUCCCAGCUGUUGGCUAAGAUCAAGUGCAUCAUCUUUCUUAUCACUUUAAUAUCUGAAACAUCUUCAGCUCGAAGAUUUUAUAUUAAAUGGAUUUGAAGUGCACAGGAAGGAGUAACUGCUUCCUCCAUUCUCUCCAUGCAUCAGCUUGAAACUGCAGUGGCUAUCUGCAGUGGCAGAUACU
Molecule: small nuclear RNA, 187 nt
Filed under: Buceros rhinoceros silvestris
Lineage: Eukaryota; Metazoa; Chordata; Aves; Bucerotiformes; Bucerotidae
Description: U2 spliceosomal RNA
Rfam family: U2 spliceosomal RNA
About the family: U2 is a small nuclear RNA (snRNA) component of the spliceosome (involved in pre-mRNA splicing).
Source: Rfam by way of RNAcentral